CAUUGAUAAAGGCAAACUUAUCGAAAGAUAAGGACGCAAAACCACGGGUCUAAAGCGGAUGCCAAGAUAGCCGGGUUACCAUG
This 83-nucleotide non-coding RNA is filed under the name Paenibacillus sp. Its description in RNAcentral is "c-di-GMP sequence". It matches the Rfam family "c-di-GMP-I riboswitch aptamer". From Rfam's summary of the family: GEMM was predicted in a large-scale screen for bacterial structured RNA regulatory elements. Genes associated with GEMM are involved in a diverse array of functions, including chemotaxis regulation, signal transduction, secretion and chitin. The record is from RNAcentral. Lineage: Bacteria; Bacillati; Bacillota; Bacilli; Caryophanales; Paenibacillaceae.